AAUUAAUUAGACGACAAGACCCUUUUGAACUUUACUAUUGUUUAGCUGGGGUAGCUAUAAAAUAUUAAUCUUCUUAAUUUUAUUUAUAUAAAUGACCCAAUUCAAUUGAUUAUUUGAACAAGUUACCAUAGGGAUAACAGCGUAAUAUUUUUUAAAAGUUCUUAUUUAAAAAAAUGAUUGCGACCUCGAUGUUGAAUUAAUGUAACUUUAUUGAUGAAGUAAUCAUAAAAGUUGGUCUGUUCGACCAUUAAAACAUUACGUGAUCUG
This 267-nucleotide ribosomal RNA is filed under the name Gibbaranea occidentalis. RNAcentral describes it as "partial 16S ribosomal RNA". It matches the Rfam family "Bacterial large subunit ribosomal RNA", at positions 2079 to 2607 of the family's 2925-position model. Lineage: Eukaryota; Metazoa; Arthropoda; Arachnida; Araneae; Araneidae. The record is from RNAcentral.